RNAcentral lists this long non-coding RNA (1285 nucleotides) under Amborella trichopoda. Its description in RNAcentral is "long non-coding RNA (ATRI_LNC004130)". The record is from RNAcentral. Lineage: Eukaryota; Viridiplantae; Streptophyta; Magnoliopsida; Amborellales; Amborellaceae.
GUGACAAUAAAUUUUCAUACCAUUACAAUACUGUCCGGCACAAAAAUGGUGUGGUUUUGAGGUGUGCCUCUAAGGGUGGCAAUGUGCCUGGCGUGGGCCGAGCCAGAAUAGGGCCAUCCCAUGCCCGACCUAGCCCUAUUGGGGCCGGCCCCAAACAAAAUGACAAAAAAGAACGAGAAUUAAAAAUAAAUGAAAAAAAUAGGAGAAAAAAUCGGGUUGGGUCGGGCCGGGUCUAACAAGGCAGGCACCAGGCCUAGUGUGGCCCUUAGGCCACCGUUUGCGGGACAGGUCCUGCCCUUUUAAGGCCGGGCCAUCAGUCCCAUUGCCAGCCUAUUGCCUCACUUCGAUCGUUUCGAGGCUGAGGCCCUGUACAAACCUCAUCCAUUACAAAAAAUAAUGACAAAAGAGGCUCCAUUAAACUUUGUAGAUAUGCACAAACAAAACCACCCAACGGAAACCAGGGACAAUUUACCUCUAGAGAAACCAGACCACAAAACCAGCUUCCCCUGCAAGCACUAAACCAAUGCUAUGCACACCUUACCUGAAACCCAAAACCGCCUUCCUCUCGAACCAAACCACCAAAAAACCCAGAAGCAACGACCCCCUCAUUUGGUGAAGAAAGCAGCCAAAACCAUUAAGAAAACAACCAAAACACAUCGAAAAAAAAAAAAGGAAAUAAUUUACAUCUGAAAAAAACCCAUUAACAAAAACAGAGAAGAACACCAAACAAAAGCCAUAUACAUCUCAUAUACAGAGACCCAUAACAAUAAAACCACCUUUCUUCCACGAAAAACCAGAAAUCUCCUCUUUAAUUAACAUAAAAAGGCUGCCAAAACCGCCUGUUCAGUCAUAGUAUUUCCCUACUUGGUAGAAAGAGAAGGUCUUCUCUUAAAAUCCAUCUUUGAGGUUGACUCUAAACCAGAGGAACCAUCUUUUCGUGAAUUUCCAUCGGUCUCCUCUUGUAUGGUCUCGAGCCUGAGGUCGAAGCUGGGCCGUCGAUCCACCUUGAUGAUCCGGGGUGGGGCGGUCUCCAUCGUCUGACGCGUGGCACCAAGCACCUUAGCCAUGGCUUCUUCCUCUUCUUCUUCUUUCUUUGUUAUGGGGCUUUGGUGAGGGCUUACAAGUAGAGGAAGAUAUAGAGGCCCCAAUAGAUAAGAACACCAGAGAAGUCUUUUUUUUUUUAAUAGAAAUAUAUUUUUUGUAGUGUUAUCCUUUAAUAGAAAAAUAGAAAUAACAAAAAACCCACAAAAAGGCGAAUAGAUAGGAAGAGGUGAUGUUCCAUUCG